Molecule: microRNA precursor, 59 nt
Filed under: Branchiostoma lanceolatum (amphioxus)
Lineage: Eukaryota; Metazoa; Chordata; Leptocardii; Amphioxiformes; Branchiostomatidae
Description: Bla-Mir-4872-P18_pre stem-loop
Source: RNAcentral
UGCCGGGGCAAUAAAAACUCUGAGUUCCGUCUGCAUCAGGGUUCUUUUGCCCUGGCUCA